This 207-nucleotide ribosomal RNA is filed under the name uncultured bacterium. Its description in RNAcentral is "partial 16S ribosomal RNA". It matches the Rfam family "Bacterial small subunit ribosomal RNA", at positions 568 to 774 of the family's 1533-position model. The record is from RNAcentral.
UGCGUAGGCGGUGCUCUAAGUCUGUUGUGAAAUCUCCCGGCUCAACUGGGAGGGUGCGGCGGAAACUGGAGUGCUCGAGUGCGGGAGAGGUAAGCGGAAUUCCUGGUGUAGCGGUGAAAUGCGUAGAUAUCAGGAGGAACACCUGUGGUGUAGACAGCUUACUGGACCGCGACUGACGCUGAGGCACGAAAGCGUGGGUAGCAAACA